UACGGAAGGCAGCAGUGGGGAAUAUUGCACAAUGGGCGCAAGCCUGAUGCAGCCAUGCCGCGUGUAUGAAGAAGGCCUUCGGGUUGUAAAGUACUUUCAGUCGUGAGGAAGGUGUUAAGGUUAAUAACCUUAGCAAUUGACGUUAGCGACAGAAGAAGCACCGGCUAACUCCGUGCCAGCAGCCGCGGUAAUACGGAGGGUGCGAGCGUUAAUCGGAAUUACUGGGCGUAAAGGGCACGCAGGCGGUUAAUUAAGUUGGAUGUGAAAUCCCCGGGCUUAACCUGGGAAUGGCAUUCAAGACUGGUUAGCUAGAGUCUUGUAGAGGGGGUAGAAUUCCAUGUGUAGCGGUGAAAUGCGUAGAGAUGUGGAGGAAUACCGGGUGGCGAAGGCGGCCCCUGGGACAAAGGCUGACGCUCAUGUGCGAAAGCGUGGGGAGCAAACAGGAUUAGAUACC
Molecule: ribosomal RNA, 454 nt
Filed under: uncultured bacterium
Lineage: Bacteria
Description: bacterial SSU rRNA
Rfam family: Bacterial small subunit ribosomal RNA
Source: RNAcentral